UGGUGGGUAGUUUGACUGGGGCGGUCUCCUCCUAAAGAGUAACGGAGGAGCACGAAGGUUGGCUAAUCCUGGUCGGACAUCAGGAGGUUAGUGCAAUGGCAUAAGCCAGCUUGACUGCGAGCGUGACGGCGCGAGCAGGUGCGAAAGCAGGUCAUAGUGAUCCGGUGGUUCUGAAUGGAAGGGCCAUCGCUCAACGGAUAAAAGGUACUCCGGGGAUAACAGGCUGAUACCGCCCAAGAGUUCAUAUCGACGGCGGUGUUUGGCACCUCGAUGUCGGCUCAUCACAUCCUGGGGCUGAAGUAGGUCCCAAGGGUAUGGCUGUUCGCCAUUUAAAGUGGUACGCGAGCUGGGUUUAGAACGUCGUGAGACAGUUCGGUCCCUAUCUGCCGUGGGCGCUGGAGAAUUGAGGGGGGCUGCUCCUAGUACGAGAGGACCGGAGUGGACGCAUCACUGGUGUUCGGGUUGUCAUGCCAAUGGCACUGCCCGGUAGCUAAAUGCGGAAGAGAUAAGUGCUGA
This 516-nucleotide ribosomal RNA is filed under the name Escherichia coli. RNAcentral describes it as "partial 23S ribosomal RNA". It matches the Rfam family "Bacterial large subunit ribosomal RNA", at positions 2259 to 2774 of the family's 2925-position model. The record is from RNAcentral. Lineage: Bacteria; Pseudomonadati; Pseudomonadota; Gammaproteobacteria; Enterobacterales; Enterobacteriaceae.